AUGAUGUUUGGUUGGAGGAAAGGGUGUCGCGCGAGCAUUAGAGAGAAUCCAGAGGAUCGAUCCCAGUGGAUCGAUGAUGUAGAAGAACAGGGAAGGCUGGAAUCAGAGGGUGUAUGUUACAGUAAUGGUGGAGGUGGAAAGCAGCAGGACGGAGGUGAAGGAAAGUGUUAUGAAGGGAAUGAGUUUGAGGGGAAGAGAGAAAAAGAGUUUAUUUUGGAAUUUACAAUCGUCUCGGCCUCUGCGUUUUUGGGAUGA
This is a non-coding RNA of Vicia faba (fava bean), 255 nucleotides long. The record is from the annotation of a GenBank genome assembly. NCBI's taxonomy places the organism in Eukaryota, Viridiplantae, Streptophyta, Magnoliopsida, Fabales, Fabaceae.